GGCCGACAGGCGUAGUCGAUGGACAACGGGUUGAUAUUCCCGUACCGGCGCUGACGCGCCCAUGCUGAACCUGGUUUGUGCUAACCGCUCGGUUCUUGUUCUGCCUUCGGGUGGGGCUUGGGCUGGCCGGGACCCCGGCUGGUAGUAGGCAA
RNAcentral lists this ribosomal RNA (152 nucleotides) under Frankia sp. 55005. RNAcentral describes it as "partial 23S ribosomal RNA". Lineage: Bacteria; Bacillati; Actinomycetota; Actinomycetes; Frankiales; Frankiaceae. The record is from RNAcentral.